UUAAUGGCAGAGAAGGGAAUUAUGUAAAGGGCGAUAAUCGGCGCAGAGAGUCGGCAGAUGGUGUAAGCCGGCGGGAACCGUCUUCGAAGAUACCUCCCGGAGCUGCAGGGCUGAACGGAUUUUUUCAGUAAGUCCUGUCGUGAGCGCACGUUAUAGCGCAGGGGUAUUUUUUGUACCCGUAAGGCCAUGCUCGUGAGAGUAUGGUAAAUUGAGGUGGUACCGCGAAAGAAGAUUUUCGCCCUCUGC
Molecule: non-coding RNA, 246 nt
Filed under: Clostridiales bacterium
Lineage: Bacteria; Bacillati; Bacillota; Clostridia; Eubacteriales
Description: T-box
Rfam family: T-box leader
About the family: Uncharged tRNA acts as the effector for transcription antitermination of genes in the T-box leader family. T-boxes are found upstream of many aminoacyl-tRNA synthetase genes and some amino acid biosynthetic genes usually in Gram-positive bacteria.
Source: RNAcentral